AGUGAACGCUGGCGGUAGGCCUAACACAUGCAAGUCGAACGGCAGCACAGUAAGAGCUUGCUCUUACGGGUGGCGAGUGGCGGACGGGUGAGGAAUACAUCGGAAUCUACUUUUUCGUGGGGGAUAACGUAGGGAAACUUACGCUAAUACCGCAUACGACCUACGGGUGAAAGCAGGGGAUCUUCGGACCUUGCGCGAUUGAAUGAGCCGAUGUCGGAUUAGCUAGUUGGCGGGGUAAAGGCCCACCAAGGCGACGAUCCGUAGCUGGUCUGAGAGGAUGAUCAGCCACACUGGAACUGAGACACGGGGCAGACUCCUACGGGAGGCAGCAGUGGGGAAUAUAGGACAAUGGGCGCAAGCGUGAUCCAGCCAUACCGCGUGGGUGAAGAAGGCCUUCGGGUUGUAAAGCCCUUUUGUUGGGAAAGAAAAGCAGCAGGUUAAUACCCCGCUGUUCUGACGGUACCCAAAGAAUAAGCACCGGCGAACUUCGU
Molecule: ribosomal RNA, 491 nt
Filed under: uncultured bacterium
Lineage: Bacteria
Description: partial 16S ribosomal RNA
Rfam family: Bacterial small subunit ribosomal RNA
Source: RNAcentral